Long non-coding RNA from Triticum dicoccoides, 1840 nucleotides. RefSeq lists it as uncharacterized. Lineage: Eukaryota; Viridiplantae; Streptophyta; Magnoliopsida; Poales; Poaceae. The transcript is spliced from 7 exons. The record is from RefSeq and is a predicted model, not a curated record.
GUCCCUGUCCAUAGGGGGUUAGUCUGGACUCCACGGCUGAAUGCCCAUCUCCUGAUUCUCCUCUUACUCAUUCGUCGCUGGCGACGACAGUUUCUAGCGCUUCCAACGCCGCACCGAGAAGGGAUUUCCUCCGUCUCCCCAGCUGCGUCACACCCCUCGCCCCUCGCUUCUAUAGCCUGUACGAGAUCAGCAACAUCUGCAGGAGACAAGGAUGUUACCAUCUGGCACGUGAUAUGAGGGUCAUGGUACCUCAGGUCCUUACCAACUAAUACCACUUCUACGCCAAGGAAUCGCAUUAGUAUCUGCUUAUCAAGCGAGAGUUUAGCAGGCAUGAGGGCGAUGAACUUGUAUCCUUUCUGAGCAGCAAUGAACGCCACGCCGAUGCCGAGAUUACCACUCAUGACCCCCAGCAGCGUUGUGAUGCCAGGUGUGAUCAAGCCUUUCUCCUCUGCAUCUUCGAUCAAUCUGCAAAAAGUUUCAUUCAUUCAUAUUGUUGUCGAAACUCGUGACGUUAUGUAUGGUACAUUUGAGGUGAAGAAUGUCUUCCUCGGAAGGGAGUAAAAAGAGCAGCCACCUGAGAGCACUCCGAUCCUUCACAGAGGAAAGGGGCUGGUACGGCUCAAUCUUCCCAAUAAGCCGAGCACCUAUGCCGUCUUUCUCAGUGAUGUUUCUCAGUUCUAUCAGUGGUGUCCAACCAAUGAGCUGGAAGGCAUAGAAUUUACUUGCAGAUUAAAGAUAACAAGCUUUGUACAGUGAAGGAAUAAUGACUAUAUACAGAGAAAGUAGGCACCUGCGUGAUGUUGGUGGCGAUGCACUCCCCCUGCGAGGACAGCAGAGAUGAAAUAGGAGGCGCUCCAGCGUUCAAUGAUGUUAUAUAGCUGAGAAGUCCCAUUCUGAUGUUUGCAGCAUGCCAAUGAGAUACUAAAUUCAGAAAACCACCGAUUGGUUGGAAGCCUAGAACUUGGAACACAAGUUUCCCUGUAUGCCAAGAAACCACCGAUGGGUUGGAAGCCUGGAACUUGAACCCCAAGUUUCCCUGCUUAUAGAACAAGACAAUCAACCAUUAUGCAGAGGGUCACAAAGUGCCAAAUGUAUUAGACUCGUGGUCUGUGACUUCGCUGCAAGUUGAGACGACUGGUUACGUAUUCAUGAGCUGAAGAUGCUGGGGUAAUCAACACAGAUUUGGCAAGCUUCCCUGCUCUCUGAAAAGAUAAUUAGUUAAGUGUGGUACUACUGCGCAUCAGGUCAAAAGGUGGCAUGUUUUUAUGUCACCUCUGGUGGUUCGUGCAUCGCCUCAUCGGAAUUUCUAACGAAGAAUAAUGUGCAGUAGGGGGGCAAGUCGAUCUUUGCACAGCGCUUAUGAUCGAGUUAAUCAGGGUAAGAGUGGCAUGCGAACUGGUGUGCUAUUCUCCAUUCGAUUCAUUUCAUUGGGUUCCUUUUCGAGUUCCUGGAGUUGAUGAUUACCUCGAUCAUAAUAGCACACCAGGAACUUCUUAGGUUACCUCGAUCAUAUUAUGCUGUUGCUUCUUCCACCUUCGAUGCAACCUAAGAAGUUCCUGGAGUUCCUGAAGUUCCGGGAAGGGGAGGAUGGCAAGAACAGGUUCCAAAAGAUAUUUUCUCUUCAUGAUAGCUUUAUCUUUCACUUCUUCUUCUUCUUCUUCUCCUAUUCAUUUUUUGUACGAAACUCUUCCCUUAUUCUUGAGUAGAUAGUUCUGCACUUAUAUCCCCAUUUGAUGGUAGUCGCUAACACAUAAUUUAUGCCAAACUAAACCAUAUUUCUUUAAGAUUUUGAAACUGGUGAAACAUUACUGUGCUCCAAACUCAUCAAGCAGAGAGCAGU